UCAGCGGGUAACCCCGCCCGAUCCGAGGCCUCACUUGUUUGCCUUGAGCGGCGGCCACUCCAGCGGCUCCGGGCGCGUGGCGAUGUUGCUCGUUGCGCUCGGUGCUGAGGAGGGCGCCAUUGUCUUUUGGGAGGGCCCCUACUAAGGGGGCGCCGCCCAACUGGGAGCCCAAUGCUCCAGGUGCGUUCGGAUGGCGCUCGGACGGGCGUGCCCCCCGGAGACCGGGGGGCGCAAUGUGCGUUCAAAGAUUCGAUGGUUCACUGGGAUCUGCAAUUCACACUACGUAUCGCAUUUCGCUGCGUUCUUCAUCGACGCCAGAGCCA
This 323-nucleotide unclassified non-coding RNA is filed under the name uncultured fungus. RNAcentral describes it as "partial contains 5.8S ribosomal RNA and internal transcribed spacer 2". Lineage: Eukaryota; Fungi. The record is from RNAcentral.